AUUGAACGCUGGCGGCAUGCUUUACACAUGCAAGUCGAACGGCAGCGCGGGCUUCGGCCUGGCGGCGAGUGGCGAACGGGUGAGUAAUGCAUCGGAACGUGCCCAGUAGUGGGGGAUAGCCCGGCGAAAGCCGGAUUAAUACCGCAUACGACCUGAGGGUGAAAGCGGGGGACCGAAAGGCCUCGCGCUAUUGGAGCGGCCGAUGUCGGAUUAGCUAGUUGGUGGGGUAAAGGCUUACCAAGGCGACGAUCCGUAGCUGGUCUGAGAGGACGACCAGCCACACUGGGACUGAGACACGGCCCAGACUCCUACGGGAGGCAGCAGUGGGGAAUUUUGGACAAUGGGGGCAACCCUGAUCCAGCCAUGCCGCGUGCGGGAAGAAGGCCUUCGGGUUGUAAACCGCUUUUGUUCGGGAAGAAAUCCUCUGGGCUAAUACCCCGGGGGGAUGACGGUACCGGAAGAAUAAGCAGCGGCUAACUACGUG
Molecule: ribosomal RNA, 484 nt
Filed under: uncultured bacterium
Lineage: Bacteria
Description: partial 16S ribosomal RNA
Rfam family: Bacterial small subunit ribosomal RNA
Source: RNAcentral